This 190-nucleotide unclassified non-coding RNA is filed under the name uncultured Candida. RNAcentral describes it as "sequence contains ITS2". The record is from RNAcentral. Lineage: Eukaryota; Fungi; Ascomycota; Saccharomycetes; Saccharomycetales.
CUCUCUCAAACCGCAAGGUUUGGUGUUGAGUGAUACUCUUAGUCGAACUAGGCGUUUGCUUGAAAUAUAAUGGCAAGAGUGGCGCUGGAUAGUGCUUCUUGAUUAUUCAAUGUAUUAGGUUUAUCCAACUCGUUGAACUGGUCGGAAGUGAGUUUCUGGUGCUGUGGCUCGGCCUUACAACAACAAACAA